UUCAGUCAUAAUGGGGGGAGUCAAUGACUCUUUGUCAGUCACAAGUCAUUAUAUUGACUCAUUAAUAGGCUUGAUAUUGCGGUGCUAGAGGGUUGACCCAGUCUUCAGCACUUUGAUUAGAAUGGAAAAAUAAAUCCACAUGAUUGAAUUUCCAUUUGAAAACCGACGUGACUCCCUUCAUUCCCAAUAACAACUCCUUAAACUCCUCGCAUACACUCAAAAUUCAUCCUUCAAUCAUAAAAGUAUCAAAGUUCAUUCAAUCUCCCAAAUUAAAGAUUUUAAAAAACUAGGGCAAGUAAUCUCUAAAGCAUAUUUUUUCAAGGAAUCCAAGAAACUAAAUCAAGUAAGUUUGUUCUUUAACAUAUUACUAUCAGAAGUUGGUACUUUUUGUGGAGAAAAAUUCCUUCAAUUCAAUGAUUAAAUUAGGUUCAUAAAGAAAAUAUUGACCCUAUUCUUUAGAAACAUGUAGUAAAAUUUAUAAAAGGGGAGUACAGUAAAUUUUGUGCUUAAUAUUAUUUGUGGGGAUGAUUUAAGAGUUGAUAAACUUGUUUAAACCAUGGGGAAGUCUGAGUACCUAUUGGAAAUGUAAGAGUAUAGACCAACUCCUUUAAACAUAUUUAUUAUCAUAGCUACAAGAAUCAUAAUGACUCGUCAGGUCACCUAAUAAGUAAUUAUGUGACUCGUAACAACUGGUAUCAUAGGUAUAAAGAGGAGUGUAAGUUCUAUCAACAUAAUGACAUGCGAUAAGUUGUUAUCACACUAUACGAGUCAUGGUAAGGAGUUGUGAUCACUGGAAAGCAACAAGCACCAAGGAAUACUUACUGGUCAGGUAACGAGUAUUGGUGGUGAGUCAUUGUCUAACAUAAUGACUCAUAAGGAGGACCUAUUAUUUGACUAGUUAACAAUUUUACAAAGACCUUUGACCCUAUGAGUUUUAUAACAACACAUUACCAGAGGUAAUGAGUUGUAUACUAACUCAUAAAGUACCCAAACACUGCAACACUCAUGAUAUUUUUCUUGUUUUUCAUUCAUUCCUUAGGAUGUAAUAAUGUUUAUGCUUCUUUUAGGUACCAAUAGAACCAAAGAAUGAUGACAUAAAGAAGUAAACUCCCAGGAAGCAGGCCCCCACCUCCACUCAUCAUCUUAGAAAUGAACCCACUAAUAAUAAAGAAUCAAGUGGGCCAGUGGAUGAAUAUACUAUUAGAGGAGUAGUGGAGCCAAGGGAGAAAUUACCCAAACAUGAUAAAGCUGCUCUAGAGGAGGACACACCACCUUGGUCCAGGCCAAGAAUGAAAAAUCCUAUCCAAUUACUACCACACUCAUCCUCCCACCCUGCAAGACUAAAGAGGAUAGAGAAGAUGAUGAAGAUGAUGAGUCUAUCCCUAAUGAGAAAAAUAAGUAGAAAGACAAUGAGUCAAAGAAUAUGGGGUCUAAAAAGGAAGAGGAGAGUUAGAGUAGGUCAAGUGACACCCUUGUAGAGAUAGCACCUCCUCCUCUACUUGUUGCACUACUAUUGAUAGAUUCUUCCCCAAUGACCAUCAUUGAACAAUGAGGGUACCUCGAGAUAUAGGACUUUUAUAAUAAAUACAGUGCCCUUAGUCCAUCCAAAAGAAAACCAAAGAGAGGGAUUAAUUUAGAGCAAACUUUUAGCACUAUAGGCAUGUCUAAGCUGCCUGAAUUCAAUUCCUAGUUCAAAUAGUACCACUUUGAGUAGAUCAGCACGACUACUAGACUGUACAGCCCUGCAUUAGUAUGAGAGUUCUAUGUAGAAUAUCUGAUGGAUCUUAAGAGGUGGUAUCUACAAGGGCAUUCAUUGAAGGGUGGUGACCCCUUGGUCACAUUGAUGAUUAAAAGUGUUUGGGUAAACAUCUCUAUGUAGAACAUUUCCAAAUUUCUACAUAGGCCAGAGUUUCAGUUAUUAGCCAACACAACUAAGAUUGACUACCGCAUGGAAUAGAUGCGAAAUAUAAAAGUAAAAUAGAUAUAUUCAUAGGACAAGCUUUCUUACUUCCAAUGGAUGGCCAAAAUUAUUACUGUAGAGUAAGAUAAGGCUCCUUGGGUGGCUGGAGGUGUUGUAUCUUCAUCCUAGAUUAGAAGGUUAGUUUGAGAUUUAUAGCGAAGGCUUUGUAGAUGCUUGUGCGUCAUAGGUUGAGUGAACAUACAAGGAUAAUGUAUUGAUUCUGGACCGAGUAGCCUUAAUUGUGGGCAUUAUAGAGGGCUAAGAGUUUGAUGUGGCCAAGUGGAUAGCAAGAGAGAUCUAUAAUUGGGUGGUGAGCAUUGACACAGUGCUAAUAUUCCAUGCUUUCUGAUAUAAAUAUGUUUUGGUGAGGUAGUGAUAGAGAGUCCAAGAGUUGAUAAGUUUAUUUAGCCACAUAGUACUACAGAUUUAGGCCUAAUUUAAGAUGUUUCUAACUCCAUCUCCAAGGUAGCUAAGGUGGGGGCCACUCAAUUAUGUGAGGCACUCCAGGCUAAAGGGCAUAAAAUUGAUAUGUUGGGGUUCACUGAUAUUGUUGAAACCCCCACUGAAACUGCCCAGUCCUAGCCUUAAGCCUCAAAUACAACAGGAACCUCCUAGACUCUGAGCCCACCUCCUACAGUAAAAUUGUUCACAUCUAGGACAGCCUCGGCUGGCUUUGAUUUAGUCCCACAAGAAUUCUUUACUGAGGUGAUGAAAAGGCUGGACACAGUUGAAAAAAAAGUUAAGAAAAUAGAAGAAGCGGUCCGGCCAUGGGUAAAGAGAUAUAUCCAUAUGGAUAUAUAAGGCAUGUAGACCCGAGUUUAACGGGUUUGAGAGGGUGAUCAUCUAGAAGUAGGUAGAUAUUCAGUCCCUAAAUUGGUAGGGAUACAUGAGGAGUUGGCCAUACUCUGGGAUUUUAUUGGGUAUAUGUAUGCUAGACCUCUCUUCUCAGUACUAAUUAUUAAAGAGAUCAUUAAGGAAAGGGUGUCUGAUAUAUAGAAAGUUAGUAGGUUGAACACUGUUGCUAGUGAUAAUAGUGCUAAUCGGCCGAGAAAUAAUAAUAAGAGAAGUAAUAGGAAUGAGAAGAGAGAGUUUGAGGCUACCAAGGCAGCUAGUUUUCAGGAUGAGCAACACAGUCAGACGAAGGUUCAUAAGAUGGCGAUGGGAGCUGGUAGCUCCUGAGUUGCUGAUGAGAUGACCAUAGAUGCAAUUAAGUUGAUUGGCAGCACUGCUCCCAACCCAUAUGUACCAUCAAGCACACCAUCCACUGCUAGUGCCACAGUUAAUAUGAGCAUCUCGAACAUUACCCAUACCACUGCUGAUGAGAGUGGUGCCCAUUAUGAGGCCCCCUACACUAACACUACAUGAUUUGGUGCUUUGAGUGACCAAGUAUUUCUUCGUCCCUUGUUUUUACAUUAUAGCUGCGUUGGGAUAGUGAAUAAUAUCUUAGUUAGGGUGCGGUUGUACGAUGCCACUGUAGGUUUUUGUUGGAGUGCUUCUUUUUCUUUCGAUUGUAGUAUGGUUGUAGAACUGACAUGUCUAGAAUAAAUUUAUUUAGUAUUGUGUUUUAUAUUUUUUGUUGUGUUUUUUUUUGUCAUUUUAUGUUUUUGUUUAACUAGGAAAAGUAAGUACCUAAGGUAGUUGAUUUGUUCUAUCUGAUUGCACUUUAAUUGAGAUACCCCUCCAAAAUUAUUUAAAAAAAUGUGUGAUAAAGAUAUGUGCAGCCAGUCUAAAACUCGUUAUGGCAAUAGAAUUAGGAACAUGAUAAUCAUAGCCAACAAUUGCAUGAACCGAUUAGGUAGUAGCUUGUGAUGCAACCCUAUGCUUUGUGUGUGAGAUACUACUUUGUUCCCUUUGUGUGUUGAAUAAAGAACUUGCCCAGUUAAUCCUCCUUAGGUUGUAGGACUAUAACACCCAGUGUUUUUAGGCUAGAAUUUGAACAAUCAUUCCUACUAGUGUAAUCUCUAAUCCCGUGAUUUGAUUUUUAAUACAUGUGUCAUGAUAAUUAUCCUAGUGUGUGAAGUAGGAUCAAGGUGGAAAAUAUUCAUAGGAAUCACUUAAAGCAGAGUUGAGCUAAGAGCCUUUGAUUCGUCCAAAUUUUGGUAUUCAAUUCUAUAAGGGUCAAAUUUGAAUGUUUAUAAACUUUUAUUUAUGCAGAAUUGUUUAUAGCCAGUGUUAGUAUCUGUGGCCUGGUACUGACACCCCUCCAACUAGCGUUAUAGUUUACACCUUGAUUUGCUUAUAUUGGGUCAUGUCGGUUACAUGAUACCUCCCACAAUUUCAGUCUAGUUAUUCAGACUAAGUAUAGUUCAGUUUUACAAGAUGUGUAUUCAGAUAUCAGUUAAUCAGUAUGUGGUUAUCAGCUAAUCUGUAUAGAGGUACUAGGUAAUCAAUAUUCAAAUAUUACUAAAUCAGUAUCCAGAUGUCAGUUACUCAGUAUUCAGUUUUUAGUUAUUCAGUAUUUAGAUAUCAGUUAGUUGGUAUUCAUAUAUCAACUACUUAGUAUACGAACAUUAGUUAUCCAUUUACUUAGAUUUCUGUCGUUCAGUCACACAGGCAUCAACCAUUAAGUUAAUCUUACUUUGUACCGGUUAUGUUUGGAUUGUAUGCUUAUUUAGUAUUGCUCAGUAAAUUUGUAUAUUUAGAUCCUUGAGUUUUGUCAUUUUCCACCGCAUAGUUUCUAACCCAGUAUUUAUACAUCAUCCUCAGUACAGUUUUUACAACAUAUUCAGCCUUGCCAGAGAUUUACAUACAAAAUUCAUGUUUCUACUACUUUCUAGCUUACAGAAUUGUCUUCACCUUAUGAUUUAUAAAUUUUACUGUGAUUUACAAUUCUCACGCACAGCCAUGUUGUAAAUGUAUGUUUCAGCAAAUAACUUAUAUCCUCAAUUUAAAAGUAUAUGUUCAAUAUUCCCAUGAUUUAGUGCUUGUCUCUAUAUACUCAGUACAUUCCAAAGUACUUAUCCACAUAUACGUCUAUGUGAUACAUUGUCUUAUAAUGUAGGUACCAGUUGUAGCCUACACAUCAUAAUCAGACAGUUUGUAAUUUCCAGCCAACAGGUGAAGAGUUCUCUUGUUUUAUGGACUCCAAUUAGUUUUCGUUCAUGUUUAUCUUAUUACUAUUCAAAUGUAUUUAUUAGUGGUGGUUGGAGGUAUGUCCUAGCUAUUUAU
Molecule: long non-coding RNA, 5128 nt
Filed under: Capsicum annuum
Lineage: Eukaryota; Viridiplantae; Streptophyta; Magnoliopsida; Solanales; Solanaceae
Description: long non-coding RNA (CANN_LNC005795)
Source: RNAcentral